ACAAGCGCUCGCUGUGGUUCUGGCAGCGAAGGGCGAGACUGGGCUCGCCAGGCGGAAGUGGUUGGAGACUGCGUGUUUUCCUAGAAAGUCCUCGACCUUCGUCGGGGAGAGGAGGGGAGUGAUAAAUUGGAAGGCGGACAAGCGACAAGUGCAGUACUGGAAAGACCCAAACAUACUUGGUUGUGACCUCAGGUCACAUCUCCCAAGAAGCAGUAAUGUUCCAGCAAUAAGAAAAGGACAGUUUUUUGUCUUUUGCAUGGUGAGCCUUAUAUGAAUUACAUCAAUUUUGUCACCAAUAUCCAUCAUCAGAACAUUUUGCCUACUCACUGUGAAGACAAUAAGGAUGAAGACCUUUAUGACAAUCCACUUCCACUUAAUGAAUAAUGAGGAAACUGGGGCACAGAGAAAUUAAGUGACUUGUCCAGGAGGACAGGGCCAAUAACCGGUGGAACCAUAAGAAAAAAAUCCAGUAACAGCUUUGAAAAAGAAAGAUAACAAUGACCUGUGUGUACAGCGUCCAAGGGAACCAUUAGCAGUGGAGCU
Molecule: non-coding RNA, 543 nt
Filed under: Pan troglodytes (chimpanzee)
Lineage: Eukaryota; Metazoa; Chordata; Mammalia; Primates; Hominidae
Source: RNAcentral